GGGGGGACGUUAUCGGAAUUCUGGGGCGUAAGCGCACGCAGGCGGUCUGUCAAGUCGGAUGUGAAAUCCCCGGGCUCAACCUGGGAACUGCAUUCGAAACUGGCAGGCUUGAGUCUUGUAGAGGGGGGUAGAAUUCCAGGUGUAGCGGUGAAAUGCGUAGAGAUCUGGAGGAAUACCGGUGGCGAAGGCGGCCCCCUGGACAAAGACUGACGCUCAGGUGCGAAAGCGUGGGGAGCAAACAGGAUUAGAUACCCUGGUAGUCCACGCCGUAAACGAUGUCUACUUGGAGGUUGUGCCCUUGAGGCGUGGCUUCCGGAGCUAACGCGUUAAGUAGACCGCCUGGGGAGUACGGCCGCAAGGUUAAAACUCAAAUGAAUUGACGGGGGCCCGCACAAGCGGUGGAGCAUGUGGUUUAAUUCGAUGCAACGCGAAGAACCUUACCUGGUCUUGACAUCCACAGAAGAAUCCAGAGAUGGAUUUGUGCCUUCGGGAACUGUGAGACAGGUGCUGCAUGGCUGUCGUCAGCUCGUGUUGUGAAAUGUUGGGUUAAGUCCCGCAACGAGCGCAACCCUUAUCCUUUGUUGCCAGCGGUUAGGCCGGGAACUCAAAGGAGACUGCCAGUGAUAAACUGGAGGAAGGUGGGGAUGACGUCAAGUCAUCAUGGCCCUUACGACCAGGGCUACACACGUGCUACAAUGGCGCAUACAAAGAGAAGCGACCUCGCGAGAGCAAGCGGACCUCAUAAAGUGCGUCGUAGUCCGGGAUUGGAGUCUGCAACUCGACUCCAUGAAGUCGGAAUCGCUAGUAAUCGUUGGAUCAGAAUGCCACGGGUGAAUACGUUCCCCGGGCCUUGUACACACCCGCCCGUCACACCAUGGGGAAGUGGGGUUGCAAAAAGAAAGUAAGGUAGCUUUAACCUUUCGGGGAAGGGCGCUUACCCACUUUUGUGAUUCAUGACUGGGGGUGAUCUAAAAAAAAAAAACCCGCCAAAA
Molecule: ribosomal RNA, 992 nt
Filed under: Salmonella enterica subsp. enterica serovar Enteritidis
Lineage: Bacteria; Pseudomonadati; Pseudomonadota; Gammaproteobacteria; Enterobacterales; Enterobacteriaceae
Description: bacterial SSU rRNA
Rfam family: Bacterial small subunit ribosomal RNA
Source: RNAcentral